UACGGAGGGUGCAAGCGUUGUCCGGAAUCACUGGGCGUAAAGGGCGCGUAGGCGGCUCAUGAAGGCUGUGGUGAAAGUCCGGGGCUCAACCUCGGAUCGGCCGUGGCGACUCGUGGGCUGGAGCACUGUAGAGGCGGGUGGAAUUCCGGGUGGAGUGGUGAAAUGCGUAGAGAUGCGGAGGAACACCAAAGGCGAAGGCAGUGUCCUGGGGAGUACCUGACGCUCAGGUGCGAAAGCCAGGGGAGCGAACGGG
Molecule: ribosomal RNA, 253 nt
Filed under: uncultured bacterium
Lineage: Bacteria
Description: partial 16S ribosomal RNA
Rfam family: Bacterial small subunit ribosomal RNA
Source: RNAcentral